AGGUUUGUGUGAUUUUGCUAAAAUGCAUCACCAACAGCGAAUGGCUGCCUUAGGGACAGACAAAGAACUAAGCGACUUAUUGGAUUUCAGUGCGAUGCGAAACAGCGAUUUGAAAAUGUUCCCAACAUCAAUGAUGUUCUCUCCUCCUGUUAGUGGUAAAAACGGACCAACCUCUCUAGGAAGUGGACAUUUUGCAGGC
This is a long non-coding RNA of Salvelinus namaycush (lake trout), 199 nucleotides long. RefSeq lists it as uncharacterized. The record is from RefSeq and is a predicted model, not a curated record. The transcript has 3 exons. NCBI's taxonomy places the organism in Eukaryota, Metazoa, Chordata, Actinopteri, Salmoniformes, Salmonidae.